CCGGCACGGGUGAGUAACACGUAUCCAACCUGCCGUCUACUCUUGGACAGCCUUCUGAAAGGAAGAUUAAUACAAGAUGGCAUCAUGAGUCCGCAUGUUCACAUGAUUAAAGGUAUUCCGGUAGACGAUGGGGAUGCGUUCCAUUAGAUAGUGGCGGGGUAACGGCCCACCUAGUCUUCGAUGGAUAGGGGUUCUGAGAGGAAGGUCCCCCACAUUGGACUGAGACACGGCCCAA
Molecule: ribosomal RNA, 235 nt
Filed under: uncultured bacterium
Lineage: Bacteria
Description: partial 16S ribosomal RNA
Rfam family: Bacterial small subunit ribosomal RNA
Source: RNAcentral